AGUGAACGCUGGCGGUAGGCCUAACACAUGCAAGUCGAACGGCAGCACAGUAAGAGCUUGCUCUUACGGGUGGCGAGUGGCGGACGGGUGAGGAAUACAUCGGAAUCUACUUUUUCGUGGGGGAUAACGUAGGGAAACUUACGCUAAUACCGCAUACGACCUACGGGUGAAAGCAGGGGAUCUUCGGACCUUGCGCGAUUGAAUGAGCCGAUGUCGGAUUAGCUAGUUGGCGGGGUAAAGGCCCACCAAGGCGACGAUCCGUAGCUGGUCUGAGGGGAUGAUCAGCCACACUGGAACUGAGACACGGUCCAGACUCCUACGGGAGGCAGCAGUGGGGAAUAUUGGACAAUGGGCGCAAGCCUGAUCCAGCCAUACCGCGUGGGUGAAGAAGGCCUUCGGGUUGUAAAGCCCUUUUGUUGGGAAAGAAAAGCAGCAGGUUAAUACCCCGCUGUUCUGACGGUACCCAAAGAAUAAGCACCGGCUAACUGCGU
This 491-nucleotide ribosomal RNA is filed under the name uncultured bacterium. RNAcentral describes it as "partial 16S ribosomal RNA". It matches the Rfam family "Bacterial small subunit ribosomal RNA", at positions 29 to 506 of the family's 1533-position model. The record is from RNAcentral.